AAGAACAAAGGAAGAAAAGAAGAACACAAACCCUAGGUGGGAAAAUUCAAGGGAAAAGUGUGAAAAUUCAAGUAAUCAGGCAAUCAAAGGUAAAAUUUCUGGAUUUUGACUUGUGAUCUACCUUUCCCAUGCGUUAUUUUGCAUUUUUCAUGGUUGAAUCACAAGAUGUCAUGAAGGAUUCAUGGCUGACCGAAUUUAGAGAGAGAAGAUUUGGUGGUUGUUUUGGUUAGAUUUUAAGAUAUUUUAGUGUUUUUAGUUAGUUAGUGAUGUGAAGCAUGAAAAUCAAACAAGAAAAAUUCAUUUUCUCCCAUAACCCAUCAUUGUUCGAAUUUUUCAAGAGAAAAUGUGAGGAUGAUUUUGCCACAUUUCAAGUUAUUUAAAUUGUGUUUAAUGAUUUGGAGUAUUGGGAGAAAAAUGGAGUUAAUUGGAGUUGAAUUGGACAUAUUGACCAAUUAAUCAAUGAUAGAUUGAAUUAGGCCAAUACCGAUUUAAUUAGGGACCCAUAUGAAUUUGUGUAGAAUAUCGUGUUUAGACGGUAAUCCGAACAAUUUGCAUCCCAUUUCAUACAUUAGUAUAAAGUCUGAAUUGGUUUUAUAACAAUUUAUCACAAUGUAGUAAAUGGCUUAUUGUGUAUUGUGUAUAGGCGGUGAGCCCUCUAACAAGGGUAAAGAUGUUGUGUCAGAGGACUGAGAAUAGGAGUAUUUCAAACUCUUGAUACAGUGAGUAACCUUAAUAUCGUCUUAAUUAUCUAAAAUAUGUUUUAUUUGAUUUUGUGAAUUUUAUGGAAAAUGAAUUAAAUGAUUAAUUUUUUGAUUUUAUAAACCAAAUGUGAUUUAAUGAUAUGAUUUCAUAAAAUUGUUUUGAAAUUGAAUAAUGGCUUUGAAAAUAGAGUAAUUGGAGACCAUUUGAUGUAUUGUGAAUUUAUGGGUCUAAUUGAUUGGCUUAUGACAAUAUUGACAUGAAUGGCUGAUUUGGUAUUUGUGUUGAAAUGUAUAAACUGUUGUUUGCCUUGAUAGGCUAGAUAAUGAAAAAAUUGCCAUGUCAUGCUGUUGAAUUUUUAUUGUAUGGUGGGUUUAGCUUGCUGCAGUGGCCUGGUUCUGAGGACAAGCCUAUUAGAGGGGCACGGAACCUGGUCAUAUUCAUACUUCAGUAUGAGAGGCGCGGAUGGAUAACUUCUGAGGUUAACACU
Molecule: long non-coding RNA, 1189 nt
Filed under: Theobroma cacao (cacao)
Lineage: Eukaryota; Viridiplantae; Streptophyta; Magnoliopsida; Malvales; Malvaceae
Description: long non-coding RNA (TCAC_LNC000465)
Source: RNAcentral